UGCCAGCAGCCGCGGUAAUACGAAGGGUGCUAGCGUUGUUCGGAAUUAUUGGGCGUAAAGAGCACGUAGGCGGUUAGGCAAGUCUGAUGUGAAAUCCCUCGGCUCAACCGGGGAACUGCAUUGGAUACUGUCUGGCUUGAGUACGGAAGGGGAGAGUGGAAUUCCUGGUGGAGCGGUGAAAUGCGUAGAUAUCAGGAGGAACGCCGGAGGCGAAAGCGGCUCUCUGGUCCGUUACUGACGCUGAGGUGCGAAAGCUAGGGGAGCGAACGGGAUUAGAUA
Molecule: ribosomal RNA, 279 nt
Filed under: uncultured bacterium
Lineage: Bacteria
Description: partial 16S ribosomal RNA
Rfam family: Bacterial small subunit ribosomal RNA
Source: RNAcentral